GACGAACGCUGGCGGCGUGCCUAAUACAUGCAAGUUGAGCGAUGAAGCUUGGUGCUUGCACCAAUUUGAAGAGCAGCGAACGGGUGAGUAACGCGUGGGGAAUCUGCCUUUGAGCGGGGGACAACAUUUGGAAACGAAUGCUAAUACCGCAUAACAACUUUAAACAUAAGUUUUAAGUUUGAAGGAUGCAAUUGCAUCACUCAAAGAUGAUCCCGCGUUGUAUUAGCUAGUUGGUGAGGUAAAGGCUCACCAAGGCGAUGAUACAUAGCCGACCUGAGAGGGUGAUCGGCCACAUUGGGACUGAGACACGGCCCAAACUCCUACGGGAGGCAGCAGUAGGGAAUCUUCGGCAAUAGACGAAAGUCUGACCGAGCAACGCCGCGUGAGUGAAGAAGGUUUUCGGAUCGUAAAACUCUGUUGGUAGAGAAGAACGUUGGUGAGAGUGGAAAGCUCAUCAAGUGACGGUAACUACCCAGAAAGGGACGGCUAACUACGUG
RNAcentral lists this ribosomal RNA (497 nucleotides) under uncultured bacterium. RNAcentral describes it as "partial 16S ribosomal RNA". It matches the Rfam family "Bacterial small subunit ribosomal RNA", at positions 28 to 507 of the family's 1533-position model. The record is from RNAcentral.